CCUACGGGAGGCUGCAGUGGGGAAUAUUGGACAAUGGGCGAAAGCCUGAUCCAGCCAUGCCGCGUGUGUGAAGAAGGCCUUCGGGUUGUAAAGCACUUUCAGUGGGGAAGAAAGCCUUGGGGCUAAUACCCUCGAGGAAGGACAUCACCCACAGAAGAAGCACCGGCUAACUCCGUGCCAGCAGCCGCGGUAAUACGGAGGGUGCGAGCGUUAAUCGGAAUUACUGGGCGUAAAGCGCGCGUAGGCGGUCUGAUAAGCCGGUUGUGAAAGCCCCGGGCUCAACCUGGGAACGGCAUCCGGAACUGUCAGGCUAGAGUGCAGGAGAGGAAGGUAGAAUUCCCGGUGUAGCGGUGAAAUGCGUAGAGAUCGGGAGGAAUACCAGUGGCGAAGGCGGUCUUCUGGACUGACACUGACGCUGAGGUGCGAAAGCGUGGGUAGCAAACAGGAUUAGAUACCCUGGUAGUC
This 465-nucleotide ribosomal RNA is filed under the name Vreelandella stevensii. Its description in RNAcentral is "partial 16S ribosomal RNA". It matches the Rfam family "Bacterial small subunit ribosomal RNA", at positions 338 to 795 of the family's 1533-position model. The record is from RNAcentral. Lineage: Bacteria; Pseudomonadati; Pseudomonadota; Gammaproteobacteria; Oceanospirillales; Halomonadaceae.